RNAcentral lists this long non-coding RNA (1001 nucleotides) under Callithrix jacchus (white-tufted-ear marmoset). Its description in RNAcentral is "lncRNA (ENSCJAG00000076181.1)". Lineage: Eukaryota; Metazoa; Chordata; Mammalia; Primates; Cebidae. The record is from RNAcentral.
GUCAGUUAGCUUUAAUAUGACCAUUAGAAUAAGUUUAGACCUCUCAAGUGUCAAUUGUGUUCAGGUAUUAUACAAGGAUAAUUUGAAAUAUUUUUAUUUUCGUGAGAAAAGUGUCAUUGUUAGGAUGAGAGAUAGCUUGGUGAAAGCUUGCAUUGGUUGCUCGGGCACUGGGAAACUGUUUCUGUCUGGAGUGUGCUUGUAUGCAGCCUGUGGGAAAAGAGCUGAAAACCUAGUCUCUGCUUGCUAACCUGGCGGGCAGAUGCCACGGUGGAGAGAAACCUGGCAUCCAGAAGAUGAAGACCUAGCACAAUUCAAGUCAUGUCUCAGAGACCUGCAUCACCUGUAAGGUAUGAGAUUCCCAGCAGGUGCCUCUGAACUCACAUGGGAUUCUGAAGUUGCUGCAAACGUGGAUAGGAUCUCCAGAGGGGUGGGCUCCCGAAAGAUGUGCUUCUUGACCCCUCAGAGACAGGCACUCCUUCUGUCACCCAGGCUGAAGUGCAGCAGCCUGAUCAUAGCUCACUGCAGCCUUGAAUUCUUGGACUCAAGUGAUGCUUCCACUCCCGCCUCCCAAGUAGCUGGGACUACAGGCUCAUACCACCACACCUGACUGCUUUCUCUCUUUUAGAAAAGGUAUUUGUUAUCUUUUCUUUCAAUUUUAAUGAAAAUUUUAUACACAUAUAUGUAACCCAUCAGUUUAUACAAUUUGCUUGUAUAUGUUAUAAAAUGGACACUUGCUUCUGAAUUUGCAAAACAGUUCUGUUUGCUUAGCAUGAUUGCCAACAAUAUUUUUUAAUAUUUAACAGAUAGCCUACUCUCAUAUAGAGAUUUUAAAAAAUAUAUAAAAAUAAUUCCAAAAUUUAUUUUAUUUUUUGUUGCAAAUACAAAUAAUUUUGGAAGUCUCUUUUAAAAGCUAAAUUAAUGCCAUAAAAUACCCAAACUGUUACAAAGAACACUCCAUUGUAACACCCUGUGAUUUACUGAUAGCAAUGAAGAGACUAGAC